This 869-nucleotide ribosomal RNA is filed under the name Bacillus sp. (in: firmicutes). RNAcentral's name for it is "bacterial SSU rRNA". It matches the Rfam family "Bacterial small subunit ribosomal RNA", at positions 24 to 879 of the family's 1533-position model. Lineage: Bacteria; Bacillati; Bacillota; Bacilli; Caryophanales; Bacillaceae. The record is from RNAcentral.
UCAGCGACGCUGCGGCGUGCCUAAUACAUGCAAGUCGAGCGAAUGAUAGGGAGCUUGCUCCCUUGAUUUAGCGGCGGACGGGUGAGUAACACGUGGGCAACCUACCUGUAAGACUGGGAUAACUUCGGGAAACCGGAGCUAAUACCGGAUAAUUUCUUUUCUCGCAUGAGAGGAGAUGGAAAGACGGUUUCGGCUGUCACUUACAGAUGGGCCCGCGGCGCAUUAGCUAGUUGGUGAGGUAAUGGCUCACCAAGGCCACGAUGCGUAGCCGACCUGAGAGGGUGAUCGGCCACACUGGGACUGAGACACGGCCCAGACUCCUACGGGAGGCAGCAGUAGGGAAUCUUCCGCAAUGGACGAAAGUCUGACGGAGCAACGCCGCGUGAACGAAGAAGGCCUUCGGGUCGUAAAGUUCUGUUGUUAGGGAAGAACAAGUACCAGAGUAACUGCUGGUACCUUGACGGUACCUAACCAGAAAGCCACGGCUAACUACGUGCCAGCAGCCGCGGUAAUACGUAGGUGGCAAGCGUUGUCCGGAAUUAUUGGGCGUAAAGCGCGCGCAGGUGGUUCCUUAAGUCUGAUGUGAAAGCCCACGGCUCAACCGUGGAGGGUCAUUGGAAACUGGGGAACUUGAGUGCAGAAGAGGAAAGUGGAAUUCCACGUGUAGCGGUGAAAUGCGUAGAGAUGUGGAGGAACACCAGUGGCGAAGGCGACUUUCUGGUCUGUAACUGACACUGAGGCGCGAAAGCGUGGGGAGCGAACAGGAUUAGAUACCCUGGUAGUCCACGCCGUAAACGAUGAGUGCUAAGUGUUAGAGGGUUUCCGCCCUUUAGUGCUGCAGCUAACGCAUUAAGCACUCCGCCUGGGAG